GAAGGUGUUUGUAUAUAAAGACCAGUCACUCUGUGCUGAAGGAAUUCGCAAUUCAUUCAAUCACAGGGUGCGUCAAUGGAGGCGCAGAGGAAGCUUUGUAGCCAUAGCCAUUUCUCUACUUCCAAAACCUAACGAAAGAGACGAUCAAAAUCCCAAUCCAACUUCAAUGUCAUUACCACUCUCUAUCUCUUCUUCUCGCCGCCGUCUCCAUCCCUCCAGAGCGCACAGGAAUCGCUUCUCGUUCGAUCAUAUCGCUCUGUAUGAAUGAACUGAUUGCUUCGAAUGAUGCGGUUGUGAGAGAUUUGAUCGCGACCUUUGCGUAUUCGAAGAGAAGAGUUGCGUUGGCUGCUUGUACCGCUGUUAUGGAUUUGUCCACCGCGUUGAUUGGGUGGUAGAGGUCUCUCCCAUUGAGUGUCUUAUGUCUUCCUUCAGAGGCGAAAGUCUGAGGAUGAGAAUGAAAGGGAUCCACUGAAAGAAGAUAGAAGAGGGCAGUAAAGAGCAGGAAACAUUGAAUAAAAUGUGAGUAUUUCAUUUCUUGACCUUGUCUGCUAAAAUAAAGAUGAGGUUAUCUUGGGAUGGAAAGAGAUGGGUUUGCAGCAAUAUAUAUACGCCAGGCUUAUGAUUUUGUUGCUAAUUCAGAAUGAAACAGACACAAUACCAACCAAGAAUCCAGACAACUGCCUGUCUUCAACCCAUUUACUUUUUUUCAGCCGACUUAACUGGUUGAAAUUUCACGUGUUUGUUCCAUGCCAAACAGAACCUCUCAUGGCAUGGCCAGAUUGUUCAUCGCUGUUUUUACCCUUUGGCUCUCUCUCUCCCCCCUAUCUUUAUCCUGUCAGUUACAUGGUAAUAGAUGCUCGAUGCCAUUUUAGGAAAAAAAAAAUCCUGCAUUUUCUUUCCAGGUUUUAAAAAAAUGAAAAAAAAAAAACCCCACCCCAUCUUUUCGCUGUCUCUAGAUCUAUUUUUACCCAAGUGAUAAGUUUGGAUUGAGGAUGAUGGGUUUGGAUUGGGGAUGAUGGGUGUAAUGGCCCAAAGCCACAGAUUUCCGUUUCCAGCUUCCUGUUUUAAAACCCUUCUGCUAGGGAGAGUUUCCACACACUUAAAAAGAAUGUUCCGUUCCUCUAUUUAAUUGAUGUGGGCCUUCAUAAUCCACUCUCUCUGAGGCUAGUGUCACAAUUGCCUUUUCUUGGCAGCGGAUUUGGCGAUUGUACAGCACUCACUCUCAGCAUUGGGUGAGUCAAGCCAACUUUGGAUCACGUUGCCUACAGUUGGACAAUGUAUAUUCAAGCCUUGGGUCCUAAUUUGAAAAGAAAGUUUUAGAAAACGGAGGAGAGAUUUUGGAAAAAGAGUUUUGAAAGCAAGAGUGAUAGAGAGAUUGAGAGUGGUGUUAUAUAGCAUGGAAGUAAAAAGGCAACAACGACGGCUUAAAAACAGCAUAUAACUUUUUAGGGAGAAUUUGACAACUAGUCACAUCUCCACAUAGUACAUUUUGAGGUAUUUCAUGUCUAUCAAGCAUAGCCAUGAUUUCGCCAAAAUGUCAUACUCUUAAAGAAAAUAAGAAGGAAAUAAUACCACCUGAAAGAAGUAAAAGAAAGCGGUAAAGUAGUAUAAGGUAAGGGUUUCGGCAUAUAACGGACAUGCGACCAUGGACAACACGCAUUGGACAAGCAUGACUGAGACACCCGACAUACUCAUUGACACUCGUUCCCUUUCCAAUCAAUGUGGUACCCCCCAAUCCACCCCUUUUGGGGCCCAGCGUCCUCGCUAGCACAUCAUCUGGUGUCCACCCCCUUUGGGAUUCAGCCUCCUUAUUGGUACAUUGUCCGGUGUCUAGCUCUGAUACCAUUUGUAACAGCCCAAUCCUACCGCUAGCAAAUAUUGUUCCAUUUGGGCUUUUCCUUAUUGGCUUCCCAUUAAGAUUUUAAAACGCAUCUGUUAAUAAGAGAUUUUCACGCCCUUGUAAAUAAUGUUUCGUUCAUCUCUCAAAUUGAUGUGGAAUCU
Cucurbita maxima (winter squash) is the source of this 2001-nucleotide long non-coding RNA. RefSeq lists it as uncharacterized. NCBI's taxonomy places the organism in Eukaryota, Viridiplantae, Streptophyta, Magnoliopsida, Cucurbitales, Cucurbitaceae. The record is from RefSeq and is a predicted model, not a curated record. The transcript has 3 exons.